Molecule: transfer RNA, 66 nt
Filed under: Lemniscomys striatus (typical striped grass mouse)
Lineage: Eukaryota; Metazoa; Chordata; Mammalia; Rodentia; Muridae
Description: tRNA-Thr
Source: RNAcentral
GUCUUGAUAGUAUAAAUAUUACUUUGGUCUUGUAAACCAAAAAUGAGGACCUAUCCUCUCAAGACA